Long non-coding RNA from Parus major (Great Tit), 728 nucleotides. RefSeq lists it as uncharacterized. NCBI's taxonomy places the organism in Eukaryota, Metazoa, Chordata, Aves, Passeriformes, Paridae. The record is from RefSeq and is a predicted model, not a curated record. The transcript is spliced from 2 exons.
UCUUACAGGCCAGCUUUGUAAAGUGAGAGGCUGUGAUUUGAUGCAAUCAAUUCCCUACACAGGAUUUUCAUUCAUGGGGUUCAGUAUUAAGGCAGUUAAAAUAACCUUGGUUGAAGAGGUAACCCUAUUACGUGGCAGCAAGGCCUCCUAAGAUCAGCUCUAAACCACCAUCACAGCUCUGCUGUGGAGCAGCACUCGGUCACAGCAAAGGUAUUCUUGAGCAGAGAACAUCCAAGCUUUGACACCCUCGGCCCAUUUUCAAGCAAGGGGGCAGAAUGCUGUCAGCCUUCAUAUCACUUGUGGACUGUGAUUCCCCAGAGAAACAGCAGCAGAGGAAGAGAUGCCCUUACUCCCCUCACUCUCAUGGAAUGCUCAUCUUGCACACUAGCUGACCUUUUGAAAUAAGCACUCAUGAUAACCUGCAUUUUCACAACCUUAGCCUUAAAGCCCUUCUUUCAAAAGUAGCCUUUUGUUUCUGAGUGUUCAGCCUGAGCUUGCUCUCCUGAGUGCCUGUUGCCAAGGGUUCUUUAAGGAAUAUGCUGAGACAGGGGCUGAGUGGCCCUUUCGUGCCCCCACCCCAUCUGUUUCAAGAUAGGCAUCCAAAAAUCAAGAUAAAUGAACUUGAGUGAAUGAUUGUUCAAAACAGGAGUCUAUGGAACUUUCCCAUGGCCAUGGAGAUUGUCAAUGGAAUAAAUGAAUUGUUAUUGCUUCCCAGACUUGUACAACCU